RNAcentral lists this unclassified non-coding RNA (182 nucleotides) under soil metagenome. Its description in RNAcentral is "partial internal transcribed spacer 1". The record is from RNAcentral.
CCGAGUUUACAACUCCCAAACCCAAUGUGAACGUUACCAAACUGUUGCCUCGGCGGGGUCACGCCCCGGGUGCGUAAAAGCCCCGGAACCUGGCGCCCGCCGGAGGAACCAACCAAACUCUUUCUGUAGUCCCCUCGCGGACGUAUUUCAUACAGCUCUGAGCAAAAAUUCAAAAUGAAUCA